CCUGGCUCAGAACGAACGCUGGCGGCAUGCCUAACACAUGCAAGUCGAACGAGACCUUCGGGUCUAGUGGCGCACGGGUGCGUAACGCGUGGGAACCUGCCUUUAGGUUCGGAAUAACAGUGAGAAAUUACUGCUAAUACCGGAUAAUGUCUUCGGACCAAAGAUUUAUCGCCUUUAGAUGGGCCCGCGUUGGAUUAGCUAGUUGGUGGGGUAAAGGCCUACCAAGGCGACGAUCCAUAGCUGGUCUGAGAGGAUGAUCAGCCACACUGGGACUGAGACACGGCCCAGACUCCUACGGGAGGCAGCAGUGGGGAAUAUUGGACAAUGGGCGAAAGCCUGAUCCAGCAAUGCCGCGUGAGUGAUGAAGGCCUUAGGGUUGUAAAGCUCUUUUACUGGGGAUGAUAAUGACAGUACCCAGAGAAUAA
Molecule: ribosomal RNA, 425 nt
Filed under: alpha proteobacterium ML34
Lineage: Bacteria; Pseudomonadati; Pseudomonadota; Alphaproteobacteria; Sphingomonadales; Sphingomonadaceae
Description: bacterial SSU rRNA
Rfam family: Bacterial small subunit ribosomal RNA
Source: RNAcentral